CCCUUAGAUGUUCUGGGCUGCACGCGCGCUACACUGAAGCGUUCAACGAGUAUUCACCUUGCCCGGGAGGGUUGGGUAAUCUUUUGAAAACGCUUCGUGAUGGGGAUAGAUUAUUGCAAUUAUUAAUCUUCAACGAGGAAUUCCUAGUAAGCGCGAGUCAUCAGCUCGUGCUGAUUACGUCCCUGCCCUUUGUACACACCGCCCGUCGCUCCUACCGAUUGAGUGGCUUAGUGAGGCCCUCGGAUUGAGCCAAGGCUCCUUCACGGGAGCUCUGGAUUGAGAAGUUGGUCAAACUUGGUCAUUUAGAGGAAGUAAAAGUCGUAACA
This 326-nucleotide ribosomal RNA is filed under the name uncultured eukaryote. Its description in RNAcentral is "partial 18S ribosomal RNA". It matches the Rfam family "Eukaryotic small subunit ribosomal RNA", at positions 1470 to 1796 of the family's 1831-position model. The record is from RNAcentral.